AAGCUUUUCCUUCCUCUUCCAAGGGAAUUUGACUUUGAGAUACAAUGAAUACAUUCUCAAAUUGUAGACAUCCUGAAGUAACUGGAUAACUCACUCAGUUAUUUUUAUUGACGAGCUUUCCGACACUGUGAAGAGUCCAUUGGUACACAGAGGCAAAAUACCAUACACCGCCAGUCAGAGUAAGAUUGCAGGGUAUAAUUUGCUGUGUCAUCGUUGCAUGCCAAAAUCUGAAAAGCAGAAUGUGCAAGUGAUUCAGAGGAUAUAUG
RNAcentral lists this long non-coding RNA (266 nucleotides) under Anser brachyrhynchus (Pink-footed goose). Its description in RNAcentral is "lncRNA (ENSABRG00000014686.1)". The record is from RNAcentral. Lineage: Eukaryota; Metazoa; Chordata; Aves; Anseriformes; Anatidae.